GCGGGUAUAGCUCAGUGGUAGAGCACAACCUUGCCAAGGUUGGGGUCGAGGGUUCGAGUCCCUUUGCCCGCUCCA
RNAcentral lists this transfer RNA (75 nucleotides) under Holosporales bacterium. RNAcentral's name for it is "tRNA-Gly". It matches the Rfam family "tRNA". Rfam says of the family: Transfer RNA (tRNA) molecules are approximately 80 nucleotides in length. Their secondary structure includes four short double-helical elements and three loops (D, anti-codon, and T loops). Further hydrogen bonds mediate the characteristic L-shaped molecular structure. tRNAs have two regions of fundamental functional importance: the anti-codon, which is responsible for specific mRNA codon recognition, and the 3' end, to which the tRNAs corresponding amino acid is attached (by aminoacyl-tRNA synthetases). tRNAs cope with the degeneracy of the genetic code in two manners: having more than one tRNA (with a specific anti-codon) for a particular amino acid; and 'wobble' base-pairing, i.e. permitting non-standard base-pairing at the 3rd anti-codon position. Lineage: Bacteria; Pseudomonadati; Pseudomonadota; Alphaproteobacteria; Holosporales. The record is from RNAcentral.